UGAGUAAUGUCUGGGAAACUGCCUGAUGGAGGGGGAUAACUACUGGAAACGGUAGCUAAUACCGCAUAACGUCGCAAGACCAAAGAGGGGGACCUUCGGGCCUCUUGCCAUCAGAUGGGCCCCAGAUGGGAUUAGCUAGUAGGUGGGGGUAAUGGCUCACCUAGGCGACGAUCCCUAGCUGGUCUGAGAGGAUGACCAGCCACACUGGGAACUGAGACACGGUCCAGACUCCUACGGGAGGCAGCAGUGGGGAAUAUUGCACAAUGGGCGCAAGCCUGAUGCAGCCAUGCCGCGUGUGUGAAGAAGGCCUUCGGGUUGUAAAGCACUUUCAGCGAGGAGGAAGGUGGUGAGCUUAAUACGCUCAUCAAUUGACGUUACUCGCAGAAGAAGCACCGGCUAACUCCGUGCCAGCAGCCGCGGUAAUACGGAGGGUGCAAGCGUUAAUCGGAAUUACUGGGCGUAAAGCGCACGCAGGCGGUUUGUUAAGUCAGAUGUGAAAUCCCCGGG
RNAcentral lists this ribosomal RNA (507 nucleotides) under uncultured bacterium. RNAcentral's name for it is "bacterial SSU rRNA". It matches the Rfam family "Bacterial small subunit ribosomal RNA", at positions 107 to 607 of the family's 1533-position model. The record is from RNAcentral.